CCCUGUAUCGAAAGUGAUCAUGGCGUCCCUGUCGCCAGGUCAUUGAUAGUACAGGGAGAUAAAGCUGCGAGCCUUUCCCGUGUUUGAAGGAUGAUCAGUUCCUGUCAGACCCUGGCGCUCUCAGACA
This is a small nucleolar RNA of Seriola dumerili (greater amberjack), 127 nucleotides long. Its record names the gene SNORA71. It matches the Rfam family "Small nucleolar RNA SNORA71". Rfam says of the family: The members of this family belong to the H/ACA class of snoRNAs which bind a number of proteins (including dyskerin, Gar1p and Nop10p) to form snoRNP complexes. This class of snoRNAs are thought to guide the sites of modification of uridines to pseudouridines by forming direct base pairing interactions with substrate RNAs. Lineage: Eukaryota; Metazoa; Chordata; Actinopteri; Carangiformes; Carangidae. The record is from Ensembl.